This 240-nucleotide unclassified non-coding RNA is filed under the name soil metagenome. Its description in RNAcentral is "partial contains 5.8S ribosomal RNA, internal transcribed spacer 2, and large subunit ribosomal RNA". The record is from RNAcentral.
AACCUAGCACACCUGCGGUGUGUACCUGCGGAAGGAUCAUUACCGAGUUUACAAACUCCCAACCCUUUGUGAACCUUACCAUAUUGUUGCUUCGGCGGGACCGCCCCGGCGCCUUCGGGCCCGGAACCAGGCGCCCGCCGGAGGCCCCAAACUCUUAUGUCUUUAGUGGUUUUCUCCUCUGAGUGACACAUAAACAAAUAAAUAAAAACUUUUAACAACGGAUCUCAGAUCGGAAGAGCA